Molecule: ribosomal RNA, 465 nt
Filed under: uncultured bacterium
Lineage: Bacteria
Description: partial 16S ribosomal RNA
Rfam family: Bacterial small subunit ribosomal RNA
Source: RNAcentral
GACGAACGCUGGCGGCGUGCUUAACACAUGCAAGUCGAACGGAAAGGCCCUGCUUGCCGGGUACUCGAGUGGCGAACGGGUGAGUAACACGUGGGUGAUCUGCCCUGCACUUCGGGAUAAGCCUGGGAAACUGGGUCUAAUACCGGAUAGGAGCCAUUUUUAGUGUGAUGGUUGGAAAGUUUUUUCGGUGUAGGAUGAGCUCGCGGCCUAUCAGCUUGUUGGUGGGGUAAUGGCCUACCAAGGCGGCCACGGGUAGCCGGCCUGAGAGGGUGGACGGCCACAGUGGGACUGAGAUACGGCCCAGACGCCUACGGGAGGCAGCAGUGGGGAAUAUUGCACAAUGGGCGCAAGCCUGAUGCAGCGACGCCGCGUGGGGGAUGACGGCCUUCGGGUUGUAAACGCCUUUCGCUAGGGACGAAGCUUUUUGUGACGGUACCUAGAGAAGAAGCACCGGCUAACUACGUG